This is an RNA transcript of Bombus pyrosoma, 4492 nucleotides long. RefSeq lists it as uncharacterized. The transcript has 15 exons. The record is from RefSeq and is a predicted model, not a curated record. Lineage: Eukaryota; Metazoa; Arthropoda; Insecta; Hymenoptera; Apidae.
UUGUAGAAACGAAAACUUUUAUCAAAUGUAAAAUACAAUUUUAGGCGCGCAAAUGAAAUUUCCCUAGGAAGCAGGAAGUACCUAUAUUAUAAAUUACAAAAUAUGCCAACUUCCUGAAGCGCCGUAGGUAAAUCUUCCUUUUCUAACGCUUCCAUUGACCAUGCCGUUUACUGCAAUGGCGGUAUAGAUACUUCAUGAAGAAGAAAGUGGAUUUUCUGCAAUGAUGAUUACGAUUUGAGUGGGCAAGGUCUAGUUGUACUUUUAUAGACUAUAGAAUUCAGUUUCUUCCAUAUUGAUCAGUGUACUAGCCAAUAUAACAUAAUCUUACUUAUAAAAAACAAAAAAAUCCAGUUACCGAUAAUAAUUGUUCCUCAAGGAGUUUUCCGGCUUACAAGAAUAGGACGCCAAAGAAUUCGCGGUAAUCGUUCCCGACGUCUUAGGUAACACUUGCUAUUUUACUAUCUGAAUGGACAAUAAGGUGGAUGUCUCAGAAGUAGAAAAUAUUUCAAUGAUUGGAUCGUCUGAAAUCUUUUAUCUGCCUGAAGUAGCAGAGAUAUCAGAGGUGUUAGAUUCUACUGGUCUCAGUCCACUGACGUCUUCUUUAGAUCAUACUUUAACUCUUCAAGAGGAUAAGCUGCUUUCAUCAGAAGUUAAUAUGGGCAUAGAAGAUACAUGGACUGAAGCAAAUAGUUCUACAUCAGAUUAUGCUAUUCCACUUCCACCACCACCUGGUUUAAAUGAUUUCACAGAUGUUGGUGCAGAUCCUAUUGGUGAUAGCGGAACUGGUAUAGAGUAUGGCCCAUUUUUACCUCCCGGUACUCCAGCUCUAAAUAAUUUGUUUUCAGAAGGUGGAGAUUCUCAAGAUGAUUCUCCCAUGGAAGACGUAGUUUUACGUGCUGGAGUAUGUGGUCUUCGUAAUCUUGGUAAUACUUGCUUUAUGGCUGCUGGUUUGCAAUGUUUGACUGCAACACCACCCGUCCUGCGACAUUUUUUGGAUUUACAGCAGGGGGGGGAAAAACUACCUCCUCCAGGAUCAUUGAUGGCACAUUUUAGCGUACUUCUUGGCAAAAUGUGGUCUGGGAAAUAUAGUGUCCUUAGGCCUACUGAAUUUAAACAGACAUUAGGCGCGUAUCAUUCACAAUUUAAAGACAAUAGACAGCAUGAUUGUCAAGAAUUUCUUGCACUUUUACUGGAUUCUUUACAUGAACAAAUGAAUACAGCAAAGUGUACAAAAAAUUGUCAAACUCCUUCAUCUACAACCACUGCCAACUCUAUUAAUUCAAUUGAGAAUUCAAAUGGGAAAAUGAUGUCCCCAGUCACUGCCACUAGUAAUUCCAAUUGUAAUACGGAUAUAUUGGAAAUGUAUGAUUGCUUACCAUCACCAGAAUGUCCAAAUAGCCCUAAUGUUACUAUGGCAGGUUCACCAAGAGAUUUAGGUUCACCAAUAGGUGAAUUAGAUAGUAUCGCAAAUUCGCCACGAGGAUCGCCUUUGAACGAUGGUGAAGAUGAUGAAGAAACACUUGAUUCUGAUGAAACUGUUGAAGCAAAGUCAAGUACGUUUAUUCACAAUGAAGUUGAUGAAAAAAAAAGUGAAGUUACGCCUUCGUUACGGCUGGAAACAUUAAUCGAACUUUCGAAAAAUGUACCAAAAUAUCAUGGUCUUUAUGAUAUUCAUAAAGAAGCGAAAACUAGCAAUGCAAACUUUUUAGUAACACAACAAGAAUGUAAUAAUGAGAUUCAUUAUGAUUCUCAAAAAUUUCCAAAGGAAAAUGUUCGCAGAAUGCCUUUAGACAAUUCAAAUCUAAUGGAAAAUCAUGAUUUUGACAAUAAAAGUGUCAGUAUCAAAAGAAUAAAGGAAGUCAAUGUUCAAAAAGUCAAUUGUGGUGUAGAUUAUGCAUCAAGUGGUUCUGAUAUAGAAUAUGAUAAUGGCUUAGAAAAAUGUAAUGUAAAACGUAUGAGACUGGAUGAUCAAGAGAAGAAUCAUAAACGUGAUGGUCAAGGAAGCAUUAGUUCUCAAUGUACACGAAUGUCACAAAGCUAUGGAAAUGGUGCUAUAGAGACACAAGAUGAGCUUGAAGCAGACAAACAUUGGGCAAAGCAUUUAAAAUCUAAUAGAAGUAUUAUCGUUGAUACUUUCCAGGGACAGUUUAAAAGCAAGGUUGUUUGUGCAGUAUGUAAUCAUGUUUCUGUUACAUAUGAACCUUUUAUGUAUUUAUCAGUACCGCUGCCCCACGCAAUGGAAAGACAAUUAAACGUUACAUAUGUUCCCGCAAAUGGUGAUCAACCUAUAAAGUGUGUUGUUUCAUUAAAUAAGCAAUCACGCAUUGGAAAAUUGAAGAAGGAGCUACUAAAAACACUUGGCAAAGAAAACAUCGCAGUAAGAAAUAUUGCACUUGCCGAAGUUUUAGAAAAUCAUAUAUCGAAGAUUCUGGAUGACAAUACACUCUUGAGACACAUCAAUGAUACAAAUCGAUCUAUAUAUGCCUUUGAACUCACGGAACCUCCUGAUGCGUACACUUCAGUAUCAGACGGUGGUGGAGAUCGUAUAACGGAGGCUGAUUCCUGUCAAAAAUGUACAGUUAUGGGAGAAGAAAUUCCAUGUACAAUUUGUCUCGAAGAAUUGGACGGAGAUUUGAAAAAGCAUAGCGGAAAUAGUUGCAACUUUGUUAUGUGCGAUACUUGUAUUGAGAAUUACUUCAAAAAUCAAACGGAACCGCAAAUGUGUCCAAUGUGUUCAACCUAUAUGACUGCAUCAUCCUUUAUUAAAAUAGAUCAAACAGGCAGACCAAGACCUGCAAUUAGGAUCUUAAAUGUACCAUUGGUCUUGCGACAUGAUACAACAAAUGAAACCACAAACAAUCGUAAAGGAACAAAACUUUUUGGAUAUCCGCAUUUAGUAAGAUUACCUUCAAGAGUAAACGCUAAGGACUUGUAUGAUAUUGUAAGAAAAAAUGUACCACAAGAAGGAAAUUAUACACUUCAUUUUGUUACAGGACAGGGACAUCAUUGUUCUCGUUGUAUGUAUACUACACAUUGUACAGGGUGCAGUGUACCCGAAACGGGUAUGGUAAUCUUGUGUAAUGGUGAUACUCUAGCUGUACGUUAUACGGAACAGGUUCCUAAGACCGCAUCGCCCAUUGAUCAUGUUAGCGUCAGCAAACAAAGGCCUCAUCAUCCUUUGUCUUUAUAUGAUUGUCUUCAAGCAUUUAGUCAAAGUGAAACAUUAGACGAAUAUAAUCCUUGGUUUUGCCCAAAAUGCGAACGAAAUCGGUGCGCUACGAAAACUCUCACAGUUCAUAGAUAUCCCAAGUUCCUUAUAGUAUAUUUGAAACGAUUUGUAUUUUAUGAGUGUACUAGUAUGAAGUUAGACGAUAAAGUUACAUUUCCCUUGGUUGGUUUGAGCGUUGGACAACACUUAUACGAUCUUUAUGCAUGCGUUUGUCAUUUUGGAGGGGUCUCAGCUGGACACUAUACAGCAUACGCAAAAAAUCCUCGCACUGAUAUGUGGUACUACUACAAUGAUGAAAUUACAAGCAGACAAAAACCUCAAGAGGAAGAUUUUAGCAACGCAUAUAUACUUUUUUACAGUCGGCAAGGGACCAAUUUAAAAUCGUGCAAUAUAUAACCAGUGCUGGAACAAAGAAACUGGCAAAUAGAUAGUGCCAGUGAUAUACAAAGUGUGAGAAACAGAAGAGUAACUGGGAAAUCAAGAGAAGAGUUUACAAGGAAGAUAUGAUUCUUCAGGAAGCGAGGACCGAUCGAUCGAUGGUGGUAUCGUCAUCGAAAGGCUGUCACUGUUGGAGGAUGACGCAUCGUAGCUCUCGGCCACAGUAAAGUCUCGGUGUCGCCUUGAGUGCUGAAAGGAAUGAAAAAUGCAUACGUAAGAACCGCAGAGAAAACUGGGUUAAAGACGCGAGAGGGUCAAGAAACAGGCUGGUGUACGGUUGGCAGGGCGAAUCGAUGGAAGGCACGAUCGACAGUUCAGAUUAGGCACGAUCGAGUUUGGAAAAAGUGCAUCGUUAACGAAAAUUAGAGCAAAGCACUUUAUCCAUUGUCGAUGAUGCAGCUGGCUAGUAUACAUACAUGUGCAUUGUGUCACGGUAUCAUGCUUUUUCUAAGAACAUACGGAAUUUCGUUCGAGUUUGACCAGGCCGGACCGACUUGCCACGAGCCGCUAUUACUUUCCAUUUUUAUUAAAAAGUCGAACUCGGCGAGAAGAGAUGGAACGAAUCGUUAUUAGUAAACUUUGUUACCAAGUAAUUUCUUUUGUGCUCGAGUCGUUGUUGAUACAAUACAUCAUCCGCUACGAAAAUUAAUCUUGUUAAAAAAAACCGCUGGGAAGAUGUUUCGUAAAGGAGAUUGCUUCGUUCUUUGCUACCAGAAGACUUUUAUUUCUUAUUCUUGUUAAUUGUGCCUUUUAUUUAAUUGAUUGAAAAUAAGAAGAAAAGAAAAAGAAAACAAAUAAAUUGUUUCGAGACACGAUGAAAUCCUU